AUCUAAUCAUAGGCCGCCCAUCUGACCAAGACCCAAAAAGAGAAAGAGUUUAAGUAAAAAUACACGUCUAAAAAAUAAACUUGGACAAAAAACCAGGUGCAUUUUCAAAAUAGGCAGACCUAAGGUCUUUUGGCUCGAGCCAAGCUUAACAAGUCUACUCUAUACCCUUUCUUUUAUUUUCAUGAUUUCCUCAAGCAACCCUCCCCCCAAAUUUCUAUUUGUAAUCCUUAACAGUAACAACUCUAAAUCCAGUCUCCACUCCACCACCCAUCAGCCACCACCAUCAUCGUUCACCACUCCAGUCACCACCGUUCCACUACAUACCCACUAGUUCGUCAUCGUUCACCAUUGUUGUAGCAAGACUGAGAACCCAAAGACGAUUCUGUAUGCGGAGGAUUAGGUCCUUGGGGUCUAAAAAUUGUACGCAAGUAUAAGACCAAUUAGGAAGGAAAGUUCUAUAAGGUAAAGGUUGGUUUUAUUCCUUUAAUUUUAAGUUAACAUGAUGUUUUUCACUUCUUUCCAAUACCAUAAUCUAGGUGGAAUGAAACAAGUUGUUGCUUUUCAGAUGAAAAAGUUGAACUGGGCAAUAUGAAUUUUCAUUUCUUGUUGUUAUCCUUCCUAAUUCACUUGUAUCUUCAUGAUUUUUUUUAAUUCAAUUAAUUGCACAUAUAUCAUCCAAUAUUUGACCAACCUUGGUUAUUCUUAUUUUAAAAAAUUCUGCUCGAGUUUUCUUGGUUCAUUUCAUGUUUGUCAAUUUGCUGUGUAAGUAUUGAUGGCUUUACCAUUUAGUAGAAAACACCAAAAUGGAUAGCAAAGAAUUUCAAGUAACACACACUAAAGUAGUGGGAUGAUAUGCUUCUUUUUUUCUUUUUAAGUAUGUGUACAGCUUAUGUAUAAGUAAAUAAUAGAGAUAUAACAACUACUUUUCCCUUCUUCAUGGUUAAAGAUUAUGCAUACCAUAUUUUCGCUGCGAAAGCAAGUGGAGAGUUAUGCUUAAAAUAUAUAUUCUCUUUUGGAGCAUUGCCUUGGGUGCCCCUUCUAAAAAGGACUUGACUUUUUACUAAUUGAGUUUUUCCGCAGCCAACCAUAUAUGUCUUUAAAUUUUAAUUCUAUUUUUUUAUUUUUUUUCCUAUAUAUUAAUUAAGUUUUUACGAUUUCAAGACUUGAGUUUUUAUGACAAUGGCUAAUUCGAACACUCCAAUACUUGUGGACAAUGAGUUUAAUGAAUAUGAAAGUGCUCUCAAACGUCAAAAGUCUACUACUUCAAAGGUAGGGGAACAAAGAUGAAUUGAAGGCAUAAUGUAAUCACUGUAAGAGUACCUUCUUUGCUAAAUCCUCUGAUGGAACCUCCCAUUUAAGACAUCAUCUAAAUAGUUGUAUGAAAAAAUUUAAUAAGGUAUAACAAAGAUGAAUUGAUGGCAUAAUGUAAUCAAUGUAAGAGUACCUUCUUUGCUAAAUCUUCUAAUGGAAUCUCCCAUUUAAGACAUUAUCUAAAUAGUUGUUUGAAAAUUUUUAAUAAGAUAUCACUCAAUACACCAUAGUCACUCAACCAUCCUCAAGAGGUGGUCCAUAUAUAAAAACCUACAAGUUUGAUGUUGAUGAGUGUCAUCGAGUUGUCCUAAUGUAUUAUGCAAAAGAGAGAGACCAUGUCAAGAUUGGAAGUUACAAAAGUUAAUCAUAAGGUUUAGAGUCCAUAUAAUGGUUUGAACAUAGUGGAUGAACUUAUUUUUAUGUUUAUCCCAAUGGGAUACAGACAAUAAAAUUUUUAGCAUCACUUUGGAUAAUGCUUUUUAUAAUGAUGAUAUGGUUUCCUCUCUUAAAAAUUGUUUUCGUGCGAACCAGGCUCUUUUGUGUGAUGGUGCUUUUUUUUUUUUUUCAAAUUAGAUAUUGUGCACAUAUAUUGAAUCCUAUAAUUAAAGCUAGUUUGGAAUUUACUGAUGAUGUUGUUGGUAAGAUUUGAAAUAGAAUUAAGUACAUAAAAAAUCGAGAAUUCGUAGGAAAAUAUUUUAUGAUGUGGUCGACAAAAGAUUUCAUUUGAAUGUAACCAAAAAGUUUUGUCAAGAUUUGUGUGUGAGAUAGAAUUCUACUUAUUUGAUGUUUAAAUAUGCUUUUUACUAUAAAAGUAUGUUAGAUUAUUGGGGCCAACGAGAUAAAUAUUAUCAAAUAUUUAUACUUUUUGAUGAGGAGUGGAGAAAUAUUGUUAUUCUUUGCAAUUUUUUGAACAUUUGUUAGGAUGUGACGUAUUUUUUUUUUUGUUCUUAUUAUCCAACGAGUAAUCUUUAUUUUAGAGGGGUUUGGAAGGUUCACUAGAUCUUGCUUGAUACAGUUAAAGGUUCUCAUUUUUUUAAACUCCAAUGGUUAAGUAAAUGUAAGAGAAAUUUAAUAAAUAUUGGAUUGAGUAUUCUUUGAUAUUGUCAUGUGCUACAAUUUUAGAUCCUCAUUACAAAUUAAAUUAUGUGCAGUAUUGUUUUACUACAAUCUAUGAUACUUAUGCUUGAGGAUUUUGUGCAAACCAUUCUUAGCAAUCUUAAACUCUUAUUUGAUAAGUAUGUUAAGAACUCUAAAUCCACUUCUUCUUCUUUGGUCGAGAGUUCCAAUGUUUCGAAUAAUAAUUUAGUUUAUUCUAGUUUUCAUCAACUUAAUGUUAAUAAGGCUUAUUUGGGAUGAUAUUAUGAUUUGAGUGAUGAUUAUAAAUGACACUUAAGUGAAUCUAGUAGUAAGAGUGAAAAGUCAUAGUUGGACAUUUAUUUGGAAGUAUUAGAGCUUGAGUUGAAUAGCCAAAUAAAUGUAUUGGAGCAAAAGUUCAAUUCGAUAUCAUGAGUUUUCAUUAUUGGCUAGUGAUCUUUUGGCAAUUCUAAUAUUGAUUAUAGCUUCCGUGUCGGCUUUUAGCACGGGGAAGAAAGUUAUCACAACUUUGAGGAGUUCACUUAAACUAAAAAUGGUUCAAGCCAUUGUUUGCUUUGAUGAUUGGAUGCGAGCUAAGGGAUUUUCAACAAGUAAUUAUUAUUCUUGUUUUCUUGUUAUAAAUUUAUAACAUUUUAUCAAUUUGAUUAUCUAACUAUUUAUUUUUAUUUCAUUUUAGAAAUUAAUUGCAAGAAUGAUGACCACGAUGAUUUUUCGAUUCCUUUCUAAGUAUACAAUUUAGCUUACAAUUUAUAGUUUGUUAUAAAAUCAAA
Molecule: long non-coding RNA, 3176 nt
Organism: Gossypium arboreum
Lineage: Eukaryota; Viridiplantae; Streptophyta; Magnoliopsida; Malvales; Malvaceae
Exons: 2
Source: RefSeq, a predicted model, not a curated record